RNAcentral lists this ribosomal RNA (787 nucleotides) under uncultured bacterium. Its description in RNAcentral is "bacterial SSU rRNA". It matches the Rfam family "Bacterial small subunit ribosomal RNA", at positions 8 to 796 of the family's 1533-position model. The record is from RNAcentral.
AGAGUUUGAUCAUGGCUCAGGAUGAACGCUAGCGGCAGGCUUAACACAUGCAAGUCGAGGGGUAUAGGUUUUCGAACCUAGAGACCGGCGCACGGGUGCGUAACGCGUAUGCAAUCUACCUUUUACAGAGGGAUAGCCCAGAGAAAUUUGGAUUAAUACCUCAUAGUAUUAUUGAAUGGCAUCAUUUAAUAAUUAAAGUCACAACGGUAAAAGAUGAGCAUGCGUCCCAUUAGCUUGUUGGUAAGGUAACGGCUUACCAAGGCAACGAUGGGUAGGGGUCCUGAGAGGGAGAUCCCCCACACUGGUACUGAGACACGGACCAGACUCCUACGGGAGGCAGCAGUGAGGAAUAUUGGUCAAUGGGCGCAAGCCUGAACCAGCCAUGCCGCGUGCAGGAUGACGGUCCUAUGGAUUGUAAACUGCUUUUGUACAGGAAGAAACAGUUCUACGUGUAGAACCUUGACGGUACUGUAAGAAUAAGGAUCGGCUAACUCCGUGCCAGCAGCCGCGGUAAUACGGAGGAUCCAAGCGUUAUCCGGAAUCAUUGGGUUUAAAGGGUCCGUAGGCGGUUUUGUAAGUCAGUGGUGAAAGCCCAUCGCUCAACGGUGGAACGGCCAUUGAUACUGCAAGACUUGAAUUAUUGGGAAGUAACUAGAAUAUGUAGUGUAGCGGUGAAAUGCUUAGAGAUUACAUGGAAUACCAAUUGCGAAGGCAGGUUACUACCAAUAUAUUGACGCUGAUGGACGAAAGCGUGGGGAGCGAACAGGAUUAGAUACCCUAGUAGUCC